This 196-nucleotide ribosomal RNA is filed under the name uncultured bacterium. Its description in RNAcentral is "partial 16S ribosomal RNA". It matches the Rfam family "Bacterial small subunit ribosomal RNA", at positions 328 to 539 of the family's 1533-position model. The record is from RNAcentral.
ACGCUCGACACCUACGGGAGCAGCAGUGGGGAAUAUUGCACAAUGGGGGGAACCCUGAUGCAGCGACGCCGCGUGAGGGAAGAAGGUUUUCGGAUUGUAAACCUCUGUCCUUGGUGACGAUAAUGACGGUAGCCAAGGAGGAAGCCACGGCUAACUACGUGCAGCAGCCGCGGUAAUCUGAGCGGGCUGGCAAGGC